RNAcentral lists this ribosomal RNA (773 nucleotides) under uncultured bacterium. RNAcentral describes it as "bacterial SSU rRNA". It matches the Rfam family "Bacterial small subunit ribosomal RNA", at positions 165 to 925 of the family's 1533-position model. The record is from RNAcentral.
AAUACCGGAUAGCCUCUCGAGCUCUCGGGCUUGAGAGGAAAGGUAGCUUCGGCCUCCGACCGAGGAGAAGCCCGCGGCGGAUUAGCUUGUUGGUGGGGUAAUGGCCCACCAAGGCGACGAUCCGUAGCUGGUCUGAGAGGACGAUCAGCCACACUGGUACUGAGACACGGCCCAGACUCCUACGGGAGGCAGCAGUGGGGAAUCUUGCGCAAUGGGCGAAAGCCUGACGCAGCGACGCCGCGUGAGGGAAGAAGGCCUUCGGGUUGUAAACCUCUUUCAGCAGGGACGAAGCCACUCAGGUUAAUAGCCGAGAGGGUGACGGUACCUGCAGAAGAAGCCCCGGCUAACUACGUGCCAGCAGCCGCGGUAAUACGUAGGGGGCAAGCGUUGUCCGGAUUUAUUGGGCGUAAAGAGCGUGUAGGCGGUUAGAUAGGUCUGCUGUGAAAACUCCAGGCUCAACCUGGAGACGUCGGUGGAAACCAUCUAGCUAGAGUCCGGAAGAGGAGAGUGGAAUUCCUGGUGUAGCGGUGAAAUGCGCAGAUAUCAGGAAGAACACCCGUGGCGAAGGCGGCUCUCUGGGACGGUACUGACGCUGAGACGCGAAAGCGUGGGGAGCGAACAGGAUUAGAUACCCUGGUAGUCCACGCCGUAAACGAUGGGUGCUAGGUGUGGGGGGUGUCGACUCCCUCCGUGCCGAAGCUAACGCAUUAAGCACCCCGCCUGGGGAGUACGGCCGCAAGGCUAAAACUCAAAGGAAUUGACGGAAUCGAAUU